AUACAAAGUCGUACCUGCCCAGUGAGUAUUUUAACGGCCGCGGUACUCUGACCGUGCAAAGGUAGCAUAAUCAUUUGCCUUCUAAUUAGAGGCUAGAAUGAAUGGUUUGACGUAAGUAUAACUGUCUCUGUGCAAUUUAUUAGAAUUUUAUAUAUAGGUGAAAAAGCCUUAAUUAAAUUAAUAGACAAGAAGACCCUAUUGAGCUUAAUCUUAAUUAAUAAAGUAAUUUAUACUCAAGAAUAUAUUAUUAAAUAAUUUAGUUGGGGCAACUAAGGAGUAAAAAAAGCCUCCUUUUAUAUUUAAAAAUCACUAUUAUUGAUCCAUUUUUGAUUAAAGGAAAUAGUUACCAUAGGGAUAACAGCAUUAUCUUCUUUAAGAGUUCAAAUCGAAAAGAAGGUUUGUGACCUCGAUGUUGGACCAAAAUGUCCUAAAGAUGCAGAAGUCUUUAAGGGUUGGUCUGUUCGACCAUUAAAAUUUUA
Molecule: ribosomal RNA, 479 nt
Filed under: Heterocithara sp. NP-2008
Lineage: Eukaryota; Metazoa; Mollusca; Gastropoda; Neogastropoda; Conidae
Description: partial 16S ribosomal RNA
Rfam family: Bacterial large subunit ribosomal RNA
Source: RNAcentral